Molecule: transfer RNA, 88 nt
Filed under: Caudoviricetes sp.
Lineage: Duplodnaviria; Heunggongvirae; Uroviricota; Caudoviricetes
Description: tRNA-Ser
Rfam family: tRNA
About the family: Transfer RNA (tRNA) molecules are approximately 80 nucleotides in length. Their secondary structure includes four short double-helical elements and three loops (D, anti-codon, and T loops).
Source: RNAcentral
GGAAGUAUGGCAGAGUGGUUUAAUGCAACGGUCUUGAAAACCGUCAGUCAGAGAUGGCUCGUAGGUUCGAAUCCUACUACUUCCGCCA